UACGGAGGGUGCAAGCGUUAUCCGGAUUCACUGGGUUUAAAGGGUGCGUAGGUGGGCCUGUAAGUCAGUGGUGAAAUCUCCGGGCUUAACCCGGAAACUGCCAUUGAUACUAUAGGUCUUGAAUAUUCUGGAGGUCAGCGGAAUAUGUUAUGUAGCGGUGAAAUGCUUAGAUAUGACAUAGAACACCAAUUGCGAAGGCAGCUGGCUACGGGAUGAUUGACACUGAGGCACGAAAGCGUGGGGAUCAAACAGG
RNAcentral lists this ribosomal RNA (253 nucleotides) under uncultured bacterium. RNAcentral describes it as "partial 16S ribosomal RNA". It matches the Rfam family "Bacterial small subunit ribosomal RNA", at positions 524 to 776 of the family's 1533-position model. The record is from RNAcentral.